GACGAACGCUGGCGGCGUGGAUUAGGCAUGCAAGUCGAACGGUAUCAUCCUUUCGGGGGUGAGAGAGUGGCGAACUGGUGAGUAACACGUAGGUUAUCUACCCUCAAGACGGGGACAACCCAGGGAAACUUGGGCUAAUACCGGAUGUGAGCAACUUUUAGUUGUUUGAAAGGUGGCGUAAGCUGUCGCUUGGGGAUGAGCCUGCGUCCUAUUAGUUAGUUGGUGAGGUAACGGCUCACCUAGGCAAUGAUAGGUAGGCGGCCUUAACGGGUGGUCGCCCACACUGGGAUUGAGAUACGGCCCAGACUCCUACGGGAGGCAGCAGUCGAGAAUAGUCUACAAUGGUCGGAAGACUGAUAGUGCGACGCCGCGUGAACGAUGAAUCCCUUCGGGGUGUAAAGUUCUUUUAUAUGUGAGCAGUGCUUCUUAUAUUAACAGUAUGGGGAGAGAGAUAUUAGCAUAUGAAUAAGCAACGGCUAACUCCGUGCCAGCAGCCGCGGUAAAAUA
Molecule: ribosomal RNA, 507 nt
Filed under: uncultured bacterium
Lineage: Bacteria
Description: bacterial SSU rRNA
Rfam family: Bacterial small subunit ribosomal RNA
Source: RNAcentral